GACGAACGCUGGCGGCGUGCUUAACACAUGCAAGUCGAACGGAAAGGCCCUGCUUUUGUGGGGUGCUCGAGUGGCGAACGGGUGAGUAACACGUGAGUAACCUGCCCUUGACUUUGUGAUAACUUCAGGAAACUGGGGCUAAUACCGGAUAGGAGCUCCUGCUGCACGGUGGGGGUUGGAAAGUUUCGGCGGUUGGGGAUGGACUCGCGGCUUAUCAGCUUGUUGGUGGGGUAGUGGCUUACCAAGGCUUUGACGGGUAGCCGGCCUGGGAGGGUGACCGGCCACAUUGGGACUGAGAUACGGCCCAGACUCCUACGGGAGGCAGCAGUGGGGAAUAUUGCACAAUGGGCGGAAGCCUGAUGCAGCAACGCCGCGUGCGGGAUGACGGCCUUCGGGUUGUAAACCGCUUUCGCCUGUGACGAAGCGUGAGUGACGGUAAUGGGUAAAGAAGCACCGGCUAACUACGUG
RNAcentral lists this ribosomal RNA (468 nucleotides) under uncultured bacterium. RNAcentral's name for it is "partial 16S ribosomal RNA". It matches the Rfam family "Bacterial small subunit ribosomal RNA", at positions 28 to 507 of the family's 1533-position model. The record is from RNAcentral.